CCUACGGGAGGCAGCAGUGGGGAAUAUUGCACAAUGGGGGAAACCCUGAUGCAGCGACGCCGCGUGAGUGAAGAAGUAUUUCGGUACGUAAAGCUCUAUCAGCAGGGAAGAAAAUGACGGUACCUGACUAAGAAGCCCCGGCUAACUACGUGCCAGCAGCCGCGGUAAUACGUAGGGGGCAAGCGUUAUCCGGAUUUACUGGGUGUAAAGGGUGCGUAGACGGCCAGACAAGUCAGGAGGGAAAGCGCAGGGCUCAACCCUGGGACUGCUUUUGACACCGCCGGGAUGGAGUGCAGGAGAGGUAAGUGGAAUUCCUAGGGUAGCGGUGAAAUGCGUAGAUAUUAGGAGGAACACCAGUGGCGAAGGCGGCUUACUGGACUGUAACUGACGUUGAGGCUCGAAAGCGUGGGGAGCAAACAGGAUUAGAUACCCCAGUAGUC
Molecule: ribosomal RNA, 440 nt
Filed under: uncultured bacterium
Lineage: Bacteria
Description: partial 16S ribosomal RNA
Rfam family: Bacterial small subunit ribosomal RNA
Source: RNAcentral